Molecule: long non-coding RNA, 1684 nt
Organism: Strigops habroptila (Kakapo)
Lineage: Eukaryota; Metazoa; Chordata; Aves; Psittaciformes; Psittacidae
Exons: 3
Source: RefSeq, a predicted model, not a curated record
AGUUCGCCUUGCAGAAGAUAGAGGAAGCUCAUCCAGCUGUACCUCACCAAGCAAUGGGUUUCCAUCAAGAUGUCCUGCUGCCAUGUUAGGUGCCCCAGCCGAAGUAUCAAGGUCUGCUGCUUAAUUUCCACGCAUGUUUCUAACAUUGAUGUUGGUGCGUUCAGUUCUGCUUCAAGGGCAGAAAUACACGGGCCAGAUUUGAAGAGAUUUAGUCUGGGACAGCCUAUUUUAGGUUAAGGAAAACAGCAAGGAAAGGAAGAACAAAUAUAACUCCCCAGGAGACAGCAAGCCCACUGUGUCUGCCUCAAGCAAGGACCUGUGCCAUGAAGGUCUGUAAAACUCAAACCAUCGAUGUCCUGUGAAGGGGAGAAGUCAGCAACUAUACAUGGCCAUGCAGCCUACAAGGAGGGAAAGUUCAAAAGAAGCAUUAACCAUGAACAGGUCUCUCUCCGGACUAGGAAUCAGAUCUGACACUGCUUUUCUAGCCCUGGCCAACCAGAGCUGUGAGGUGACUGGGAGCAAGCCCAGUUAGUUCCCUUCCAGCAUGUCUGCUGCCCAUCCGACUCCUCAUCUGUUUGGACCAAAAGCUCUUCAGAGGGUUGGCACUGCCUCUCUGAGCAUAACACCACACAUUUAUAAUAUAAAAAACGGAUCCAGCCAUUUCUGCCCAUUGUAACGUGACCCAAUGCUAGGAAAGCUCCUGCUCAGCUCCAGAGUUUCAGGGGUUCUUCCUGCAGUUGUAGCUGCUUGGCUUCUGUGGAAAAGCAGGGAAAAUCUGGCUUUCCUUUGGAAUUACUUUGUUAUUACUUUAUUCAUCUCCAAUAAUGCUGAUGGCGAGCACUGGAUAUGGAUAAGGAUGUAUGGAGGUCUUUUCCCCUACCUGAAAUGGAGAACAUGGAUCUUGUGCUGAAGAUAAGGGAACAUGUGAGCUCACACAGUGGUAAGAGAGAGGCAAAGAGAGACUGAUGACAGGUUCAGAGGAAGAAGUCUGAACAGUGUGGCUCCUCUCUGCCCUGCCUUCCUCUGCUCCCUCUUUCUCACUGUGUAUGUGACUGAGGGCAGGCUUGCUGUAGUUCCCUGUGUUCAUACAAUGUCUAAAGUAAUCAACAAGAUUUUCAGGGCACUGCAGGGCUGUAUUUUCAAGUGCUUGGUGCUCACUGACAUUUCAGGAGAGUCCAGCUCUUGUGUAAGCAUCUAAUAAGGCUCAGAGGGAAGAGGGCAGUAACACUAAUAGCAGCAGCAGCAGUGACCACUAAUAUGAUGAGGCCUCCUCUGUAAUUGCCUUUCCCCUGUUUUGUUUCUCUGCCACACUGACAAAGCAAUUGGUUUAAAAAUGUCAGUAGCAAAAGCCAUUUAAGUGGAUGGGUUUGCUUUGCCUCGUGCAUCAGGUCAUACUGGCUGUGUCUGAUACCCUGGGGACAUGGGGAGUCUCUCCCCCUACCAGAGUAUCCGUAAUGUCUUUCUCUCUGGCUCCAGGCUGGGUUCCCAGAGGGUAAAUAGACCUCAUGAUGGAGGUGGCCAAAAGCCUGGUACCUCAUUGCUCAUUGCAAGCCCACCACUGUGGGACUUCACUGUGCUUGCAGGCUGUGCUCCUGCCCAGGCUCUGCAGCUGCCUCCAGCACUGCAGGUGCCCUGUGCUAUGCCCAUGAAAACCAGAAUAAAAGACUGGUGGGUGCUGGAAAAA